AGAACGAACGCUGGCGGCAUGCCUAAUACAUGCAAGUCGAACGAACACUUCGGUGUUAGUGGCGCACGGGUGCGUAACGCGUGGGAAUCUGCCCUUGGGUUCGGAAUAACAGUUGGAAACGACUGCUAAUACCGGAUGAUAUCGAAAGAUCAAAGAUUUAUCGCCCAGGGAUGAGCCCGCGUAGGAUUAGCUAGUUGGUGAGGUAAAGGCUCACCAAGGCGACGAUCCUUAGCUGGUCUGAGAGGAUGAUCAGCCACACUGGGACUGAGACACGGCCCAGACUCCGUACGGGGAGCAGCAGGUAGGGAAUAG
This 312-nucleotide ribosomal RNA is filed under the name uncultured soil bacterium. RNAcentral's name for it is "bacterial SSU rRNA". It matches the Rfam family "Bacterial small subunit ribosomal RNA", at positions 26 to 364 of the family's 1533-position model. The record is from RNAcentral.